RNAcentral lists this ribosomal RNA (301 nucleotides) under uncultured bacterium. Its description in RNAcentral is "partial 16S ribosomal RNA". It matches the Rfam family "Bacterial small subunit ribosomal RNA", at positions 509 to 807 of the family's 1533-position model. The record is from RNAcentral.
CAGUCGCCGCGGUAAUACGUAGGUGGCAAGCGUUGUCCGGAAUUAUUGGGCGUAAAGCGCGCGCAGGUGGUUUAAUAAGUCUGAUGUGAAAGCCCACGGCUCAACCGUGGAGGGUCAUUGGAAACUGUUAAACUUGAGUGCAGGAGAGAAAAGUGGAAUUCCUAGUGUAGCGGUGAAAUGCGUAGAGAUUAGGAGGGACACCAGUGGCGAAGGCGGCUUUUUGGCCUGUAACUGACACUGAGGCGCGAAAGCGUGGGGAGCAAACAGGAUUAGAUACCCCAGUAGUCCCUGUCUCUUAUAC